CAAAUCCCCCUGCUCCUGUGGUGAAGCCCCCCACUGUUGUGCCCAAGCCCCCUGCUCCACCGGUCAGCCCUCCUACUGUUGCUCCGAAGCCACCUGCUCCUGUGGUGCCCAAGCCCCCUACCCCACCUGCCAACCCUCCUACUGUUGCUCCCAAGCCACCUGCUCCCCCAGUGAAGCCUCCUACCGUUGUGCCCAAGCCCCCUUCUCCACCUGUCAACCCUCCUACCCCCAAGCCACCUGCUUCCCCAGUGAAGCCUCCCACUGUUGCACCAAAGCCUCCUGUGCCACCAGUCACGCCUCCUACUACAGCACCAAUGCCCCCAGUGAGGGCAAGAUUGGGUACUAUUUCUUCCCUAUGAUAGGAUAAAAUCUGCUGAGCCUUUUUCAUCUUUUUCAUCUUUCUUGGUUAAUAUUCUGAGAAUGUGUUGUGAUUGUCGUCUGCAGACUGCAUCCCACUAUGUGAUCAGAGGUGUAAAGCACAUUCAAGGAAGAACAUAUGUGUGAGAGCAUGCAUGACAUGCUGUGACCGCUGCAAAUGUGUUCCACCAGGAACGUAUGGUAACAGGGAGAAGUGUGGCAAGUGCUACACUGACAUGACCACUCACGGCAACAAACCCAAGUGCCCUUAAAAUGGACUAGAAUCAUGGUUUUCUUUGUCGGGUGCGAGUCUUGUUGACUGAAGAUGUAAUAACUUGAAGAGGAAAGUAAGAAGUAAAUCGUUUCUAGGGAUCUUUCUUCCACCGGCUUCAACUAUCAUUAGCCAGUCCUCAUCUUUUCAUGGUCUGUACUGUUUUUCCCCAUUGUGAAUUGCCCUUGCUACUGUUUGUUAAAAGUUCUCCUUACAAGAACCGGUUCUUGAUUCUUCUGUGAUUUUUUCAGUGAGUAUUCUUUUUUUCCAAAGGAUUCGUGUUUAAUUUGUCCGUCCAAAGAACCAAACUGAAAUUAGAUCCUUGAGAUCAUCAAACUAAGCUGACUUUUAAUGAAUUGGACCUGUCACUCGGUGGAUCCGAAUCCAAUGUUUGAUGCUAGGUAGCAUAGAAUGAUUUCAUAUAUAAGAAGCCUAGUGUAAAGGGCUCCGUAAGUAUAGAUGUAAUGCUCAAUACUUUUCCAACCUUUGAACUAGUCGUUUUUAAGUUCAAUAAUGAAGGAGCUGGCACAAGUUUCAUUCUUUAAACAUAUUGGAAUAGAAGCCAUUCCCCUUGAGUCAAGCAGCAAGUGGGACUCAAGAGAAGUCUUGUCAUUAAUGGCAGACUAGAGGCUGCAGAAUAAUUCAGGACAUUGCAGUAUGAUUGGAGAAGUCUGCCACAAUGUCCCUACAUUUCCAGUGUGAUCAUAUAAAUUCUUUCAUCAUUGAUAACGAACAAGUUGGAGCUGUGAUGACCGACUUGGUUAAUUGUUUAGGGUUUUGAAAGUGGCUGAUAAUGAGUUCCACCAGUGACCGACCAAAGGAUAAUUUGGCUGUUCCUGUUAACCUAUUUACAACUCGGGACCAGCAAUGAGGAGUAGGUUGGAAGAAUAAACUAUAAAGGAAGAAGUUACCAUGGUGUGUCAAUCUAACAGCUGGAAUCGAUGGAGCAGGUUCACUAUGCAGCUUUGGCUUGUCCUGCACCACCAUCAUGAAGCAAACGACAAAGAUGCCUCAAAAAUCUUUGGAAUUGCUUCCAGGCCAGCACAUUAAAUUGUAGCUAUGAAUGACAGUGACUAUCCAAAAAGACAAGACACCAAGCGUAGAUAUCAAUGCCCGUAUCGAACGGUCAUGAGUAUAUUCCUACAUGUAUCUCUGCCUAUAUAUAUAGGAGGGAUACCGGGACAUGAUGAUAUAGCAGGCUGCCAACCACCUAGUUGCUUUCACAAAGAGAUCAGAAACUAUGGCUUUCCAAAAGUAUGCUGUCAUUUUCUCAAUUUGGUUUGUUUUAUCAGUAUUGGCCGUGGCUGCACUUGAAGCACCUGCCCCCAACUCCCCAUCUCAGGCGCCAAAUCCACUUGCAUCUUUCCAGGCAAUGCUGAUGGGAUUCGUGGGUGUUGCUAUUUCCUUUAUUUUCUUUAAAUCUGUGGCUUGAGCUCCCCCAUUCAACUCUACUUGUUCUGGUGUGCUUCUUUCAGUAUUUUCUGCACCAUGUUUCUGUGACUGGAGAUGUUAUUGAGCUCACAAUCUAGCACAAAAUUAUGAAUAAUGCACUUGUAUCAAGUCCUCCCCCUUGAUUUACUACAAUGUUGUAAUGCCUGUCCUAUUGUGUACCAACCCUUGAUUGAGUGAAAUAUCAUCUCCGAUCUGUUUCUAUCUUGGAAAAUGUUAGGGCACUGAUUCAGUAUCAACAGAACUUGCAGUCAGGAUCCUUAAAAAUUCAUGAUGAAAUUGUGGUUAGGGUACAAUUACAAACAAAUCAAACAUCAAGCAACAUACAAACAAAUGGGACGCAAGUGAAAUAUAAAAACAUUGGAACCAAAUUAUAUAUAUGAUAUGUUUUUGGACAAAUAGUUGAAGAGGUCAGCCAGCGGAAAAAUAGAGCCAGCCCAUCACUUUUUGCUGGAAAUGGGCCUGUCAUUACAUGAGCUGGGUGCUGCCACAUUGGUUAACAUUUGGCUUGGCAGGUGACCCCCCACCCCCAACAAAAACAAAAGGACUCUUUGGAACCAAAGCCUUCGAGCCACAUUGGUCAAGGGCCACGGUGCCAAUCUCAGAACAAAGAUCCUCUCGUUUAUGCCAGCCAAACCAGGCUGCUUUCAUUAGUGAUUUGGGACUAGAGUGAUCCGUUGGCUGGUGUCUGGCUUCGAAAAUUAGAGGUGGUUUUUAGUUAUUUUCAGGUGGGGUUUUCUCAAUUUCCACGUCUCAGCCUAAAGAAAAGAAGAGAGCAUAGCGAGAGCGGAGUCACAGAAUGGGUGGAGAUGGGAUCUUGGGGUUCGGAGAUGUUGAGCAAAUCAAAGAAGCUACAAGCGGAAAGAGAAGGUGGUUGAAGAGGAGAGAGAGAUGGCUUGUGGUUCUUGGGGUGGUUCUACACGCAGUUUACAUGCUCAGUAUCUUCGAUAUCUACUUCAAGACCCCAAUCAUCCAUGGCAUGGACCCGGUCACUCCUCGCUUCAAGGCUCCCGCCAAGCGUCUCGUGCUUUUGGUUGGUACGGUCUCUAGAGCACCAUCUAUUCGCUGAUUUGAUCCAGCUAAUUUCACGAGUUAUUGGCAUUGGAUGUAAAGUGGGUCCGUUUAGUUUUGUAUUGCUGGUUGUUUAUUUGAUAGUAGGGACUAAUUGGUUGCUUCGAGCAUUCUAAAAGAUCUUUAUUUAUUUAUUUAUUUUUUGGGUAUUUUUUGCAUUGAAUCAUUGUGGUUUAUUAAAACUGAACACCUGGUUCUGUGAUUUCCACUGCAACCACUUUAGCAU
Molecule: long non-coding RNA, 3374 nt
Filed under: Vitis vinifera (wine grape)
Lineage: Eukaryota; Viridiplantae; Streptophyta; Magnoliopsida; Vitales; Vitaceae
Description: long non-coding RNA (VVIN_LNC004862)
Source: RNAcentral